RNAcentral lists this transfer RNA (93 nucleotides) under Micromonospora yangpuensis. RNAcentral describes it as "tRNA-Tyr". Lineage: Bacteria; Bacillati; Actinomycetota; Actinomycetes; Micromonosporales; Micromonosporaceae. The record is from RNAcentral.
GGCCUGCUGGUGACAGGGGGUCAGUGCGCGGCGUGGUAGGCGUCGCGGACCGUGGCGGGGAUGACGCCCCCGGUUCGUGGCCGGGGCAGGUUC